UUCAAGGUUUUUUGCACUUAAAACCACGGAAUAGUUAAAAAAAAAAAAUAU
Tyto alba (common barn owl) is the source of this 51-nucleotide non-coding RNA. Lineage: Eukaryota; Metazoa; Chordata; Aves; Strigiformes; Tytonidae. The record is from Rfam.